CUGGCUGACUGUUACCAAACUGAGACCCUGGAGGAAGGGUAGAUAAGGUAGAAUAUUAGGGUGAUUUGAAAAUGAUGGAAUAAGAAGGCUCAAAUAGAAAAUGUUUGGUUUGGAAAUAGACUGAGUCACACUGACCUAUGGAGAAAAUCAGAAGGAUAUAAUUUGGCUGAAAAAUAUUACUGUUGGUGUGUGUAUGAGUACAUAGCAGUCUUAUGUCCUCUACUAUCAAUACAGUAUUCCCUAAAUGCCAUCUCAGGUCACCAUAAUUUACAGAUAUCCAUGUUCUGCAUGAAGCAAUGAAAAGAUUCUACAGUGCUCAUGGCAAAAAUGUCUGACUGAAUCCAACAGAUUGCAGUAUAGCAGAAUUUUAAAAAAAUCAUAUGCUAUGGAUAUACAAGAAGACAAAACUAAGUUUUAGAGGGCUAGGGUGGGGCAUACUUUAAGAGUUCUGAAAAAUGACAACACAUACCAAAGUGAACAACUUCUGGUGACUCAAUCUUUUUCAGAAUCAUCUUUGUAAUCAGUUCUUCAGGAAUACUUUGACCUCCAAAAAGCAAUUCCUGCAUCUAAAGGAAAAUGUAAAGCAUAACAUCUUAUAAUAUUUGCAUGGUGGCCCCAUUCAGCUGCCACUGACUUCAAGGGGAACAAGAUGGGGCCUUAUGAAUGUCAUGAAAUGUAAUAAAACAGUAGAUUUUACCUUAAGUCCAUAUUCUGUUCCUGCAGUAAUAUUUUCUUCUAUUACUUCCAAAGCUAAAAUAUG
This is a long non-coding RNA of Dermochelys coriacea (leatherback sea turtle), 760 nucleotides long. RefSeq lists it as uncharacterized. The record is from RefSeq and is a predicted model, not a curated record. The transcript has 3 exons. Lineage: Eukaryota; Metazoa; Chordata; Testudines; Dermochelyidae.